This 134-nucleotide ribosomal RNA is filed under the name Paecilomyces sp. AK18/95. RNAcentral describes it as "5.8S ribosomal RNA". The stretch from base 1 to 82 matches the Rfam family "5.8S ribosomal RNA", at positions 73 to 154 of the family's 154-position model. From Rfam's summary of the family: 5.8S ribosomal RNA (5.8S rRNA) is a component of the large subunit of the eukaryotic ribosome. It is transcribed by RNA polymerase I as part of the 45S precursor that also contains 18S and 28S rRNA. Functionally, it is thought that 5.8S rRNA may be involved in ribosome translocation. Lineage: Eukaryota; Fungi; Ascomycota; Eurotiomycetes; Eurotiales; Thermoascaceae. The record is from RNAcentral.
UGCAGAAUUCCGUGAAUCAUCGAAUCUUUGAACGCACAUUGCGCCCCCUGGCAUUCCGGGGGGCAUGCCUGUCCGAGCGUCAUUUCUGCCCUCAAGCGCGGCUUGUGUGUUGGGCGUGGUCCCCCCGGGGACCU